ACAAACGAGGAGGCCAGAAUGAGGCCGA
Molecule: small RNA, 28 nt
Filed under: Bombyx mori (domestic silkworm)
Lineage: Eukaryota; Metazoa; Arthropoda; Insecta; Lepidoptera; Bombycidae
Description: ovarian small RNA-10900
Source: RNAcentral